ACUGGUGUCAGCCGCCGCGGUAAUACCAGCUCUCCGAGUGGUAGGGAUGAUUAUUGGGCUUAAAGCGUCCGUAGCCGGCUUAGCAAGUCUCCUGUUAAAUUCAGCGACCUAAUCGUUGAGCCGCGGGAGAUACUACUAGGCUAGGAGGCGGGAGAGGCCAACGGUAUUCUCGGGGUAGGGGUGAAAUCCUAUAAUCCCGGGAGGACCACCAGUGGCGAAGGCUGUCGGCUAGAACGCGCUCGACGGUGAGGGACGAAAGCUGGGGGAGCGAACCGGAUUAGAUACCCGGGUAGUCCCAGCUGUAAACGAUGCGGGCUAGGUGUUGGGGUGGCUACGAGCCACUUCAGUGCCGCAGGGAAGCCAUUAA
RNAcentral lists this ribosomal RNA (367 nucleotides) under uncultured archaeon. Its description in RNAcentral is "bacterial SSU rRNA". It matches the Rfam family "Archaeal small subunit ribosomal RNA", at positions 451 to 818 of the family's 1478-position model. The record is from RNAcentral.